GAAAUGCGAUAAGUAAUGUGAAUUGCAGAAUUCAGUGAAUCAUCGAAUCUUUGAACGCACAUUGCGCCCGCCAGUAUUCUGGCGGGUAUGCCUGUUCGAGCGUCAUUACAACCCUCAGGCCCCCGGGCCUGGCGUUGGGGAUCGGCGGAAGCCCCCUGCGGGCACAACGCCGUCCCCCAAAUACAGUGGCGGUCCCGCCGCAGCUUCCAUUGCGUAGUAGCUAACACCUCGCAACUGGAGAGCGGCGCGGCCACGCCGUAAAACACCCAACUUCUGAAUGUUGACCUCGAAUCAGGUAGGAAUACCCGCUGAACUUAAGC
Molecule: unclassified non-coding RNA, 320 nt
Filed under: plant metagenome
Description: partial contains 5.8S ribosomal RNA, internal transcribed spacer 2, and large subunit ribosomal RNA
Rfam family: 5.8S ribosomal RNA (bases 1-105)
Source: RNAcentral